This 128-nucleotide small nuclear RNA is filed under the name Phaseolus vulgaris (common bean). Its description in RNAcentral is "snRNA U5". It matches the Rfam family "U5 spliceosomal RNA". Rfam says of the family: U5 RNA is a component of both types of known spliceosome. Lineage: Eukaryota; Viridiplantae; Streptophyta; Magnoliopsida; Fabales; Fabaceae. The record is from RNAcentral.
UUACAUAUGCUAUAAAUAUAUGUUCAGCAUGCGAACUAUUCUUUCGCCUUUUACUAAAGAAUACCGUGUUUCUGUCACAAUUUACGGCAUACAUUAAUUUUUGGAAGAGUUUCCUUUAUUGGAAGACU